GAUGAAGAACGUAGCGAAAUGCGAUACGUAAUGUGAAUUGCAGAUUUCAGUGAAUCAUCGAAUCUUUGAACGCACAUUACGCCCGCCAGUAUUCUGGCGGGCAUGCCUGUUCGAGCGUCAUUUCAACCAUCAAGCCUUCGCUUGUGUUGGGGCCCCGCGGCUGCCGCGGUCCCCUAAAUCCAGUGGCGGGCUCGUCGUCGUACCGAGCGCAGUAGACAUCCUCGCUCCGGGAACCCGACGGGUGCCGGCCGUGAAACCCCCCACAUCAAGGUUGACCUCGGAUCAGGUAGGAAUACCCGCUGAACUUAAGCAUAUCAAUAAGCGGAGGA
This 329-nucleotide unclassified non-coding RNA is filed under the name soil metagenome. Its description in RNAcentral is "partial contains 5.8S ribosomal RNA, internal transcribed spacer 2, and large subunit ribosomal RNA". The stretch from base 1 to 120 matches the Rfam family "5.8S ribosomal RNA", at positions 35 to 154 of the family's 154-position model. The record is from RNAcentral.